Molecule: ribosomal RNA, 436 nt
Filed under: uncultured Treponema clone RFS58p
Lineage: Bacteria; Pseudomonadati; Spirochaetota; Spirochaetia; Treponematales; Treponemataceae
Description: bacterial SSU rRNA
Rfam family: Bacterial small subunit ribosomal RNA
Source: RNAcentral
GGGCGGCAAGGUGCAGCAAUGCAUCNUAGAGCGGCGGACUGGUGAGUAACGCGUGGGUGACUUACCUUACGGCCGGGGAUAGCCAUUAGAAAUAGUGGGUAAUACCGGAUGUGGUUGCGAGACUAUGGUUUUGCAAAGAAAGGGGCUUCGGCCCCGCCGUGAGAUGGGCCCGCGACCCAUUGGNUAGUUGGAGAGGUAAGAGCUUACCAAGCCGAAGAUGGGUAGCCGGCCUGAGAGGGUGAACGGCCACACUGGGACUGAGAUACGGCCCAGACUCCUACGGGAGGCAGCAGCUAAGAAUAUUCCGCAAUGGACGAAAGUCUGACGGAGCGACGCCGCGUGGAUGAAGAAGGCCGUGAGGUUGUAAAGUCCUUUUAUUGCUGAAGAAUAAGGCGGGGAGGGAAUGUCCUGCUGAUGACGUUAGGCAAUGAAUAAG